GCUGAUGUAGUGCAGAGGUAUAGCAUCUCCCUCUCCCAUGACAACAAGCAUAGUCUUGUACAUCGGGAAAUAGGGGAAGACCUGGGUUCGAAUCCCAGCAUCAGCA
Molecule: transfer RNA, 106 nt
Organism: Exophiala spinifera
Lineage: Eukaryota; Fungi; Ascomycota; Eurotiomycetes; Chaetothyriales; Herpotrichiellaceae
Rfam family: tRNA
About the family: Transfer RNA (tRNA) molecules are approximately 80 nucleotides in length.
Source: Rfam